This 80-nucleotide transfer RNA is filed under the name Aureispira sp. RNAcentral describes it as "tRNA-Leu". The record is from RNAcentral. Lineage: Bacteria; Pseudomonadati; Bacteroidota; Saprospiria; Saprospirales; Saprospiraceae. RNAcentral also lists the same sequence under 1 other name.
GCCGCACUAGCCCAACCUUUGGCAGAGGCAUGAGCUUUAAGCGUUCAGAGUUCCCAGUUCGAAUCUGGGGUGCGGUACCA